This 793-nucleotide ribosomal RNA is filed under the name uncultured archaeon. Its description in RNAcentral is "bacterial SSU rRNA". It matches the Rfam family "Archaeal small subunit ribosomal RNA", at positions 85 to 876 of the family's 1478-position model. The record is from RNAcentral.
ACGGCUCAGUAACACGUGGAUAACCUGCCCUUGGGUCCGGCAUAACCCCGGGAAACUGGGGAUAAUUCCGGAUAACGCACAUAUGCUGGAAUGCUUUAUGCGUAAAAUGGAUUCGUCUGCCCAAGGAUGAGUCUGCGGCCUAUCAGGUAGUAGUGGGUGUAAUGUACCUACUAGCCAACAACGGGUACGGGUUGUGAGAGCAAGAGCCCGGAGAUGGAUUCUGAGACAUGAAUCCAGGCCCUACGGGGCGCAGCAGGCGCGAAAACUUUACAAUGCGGGAAACCGUGAUAAGGGGACACCGAGUGCCAGCAUCAUAUGCUGGCUGUCCAGGUGUGUAAAAUACACCUGUCAGCAAGGGCCGGGCAAGACCGGUGCCAGCCGCCGCGGUAACACCGGCGGCCCGAGUGGUGACCGUGAUUAUUGGGUCUAAAGGGUCCGUAGCCGGUUUGGUCAGUCCUCCGGGAAAUCUGACGGCUCAACCGUUAGGCUUUCGGGGGAUACUGCCAGGCUUGGAACCGGGAGAGGUAAGAGGUACUACAGGGGUAGGAGUGAAAUCUUGUAAUCCCUGUGAGACCACCUGUGGCGAAGGCGUCUUACCAGAACGGGUUCGACGGUGAGGGACGAAAGCUGGGGGCACGAACCGGAUUAGAUACCCGGGUAGUCCCAGCCGUAAACGAUGCUCGCUAGGUGUCAGGCAUGGCGCGACCGUGUCUGGUGCCGCAGGGAAGCCGUGAAGCGAGCCACCUGGGAAGUACGGCCGCAAGGCUGAAACUUAAAGGAAUUGGCGGGGGAG